CCUGUCAAAGUAUCACUUAAGUUAGACACGAGUGUGCUGAGAAUCUGUCUUCAGAAUGAUUAGGUAUGUGUGGUGGCUAUUCAUUCCACUGCUUCUGUUCAUGAGUGUAAGGUUGUAAGGCAUUGCAUCUCUUACUAGUUUGUUUUUUAAAAAAAUGUCAGGUAGAAUAGUUUUCUCUUUUUGCAGGUGCUUGGAGUUUCGUGUAAAUCAGGUUCAUUGGCCCCCGUUUUGUUUUUGAUACCUAUCUAUUGAGCUGGCUGUUUCGUUGCAGAACAUUUUGCUUGGUUUUUCAGCUGUUGCAUUUCGUACUAAUUAUUUCAUACAUUUCAAUGAAGUAACUGGUGAGGCGACCACUCCACUAACUUACUAAUAGUUGGAUACAAUGUUCUCCUGCAAGCUUGAUUGGUUCCACCAGUUACAACAUUGGAAUUGAGCAUGUAAUUUUAAAUAGUACCGGACAUUAUCUUACUUUAUGGAUCCAAAUAUUUUGUUGAUCUUUGUUGUAAUCUUAUGUAAAACUUACAGCAAAACAGUGAUAAAGCUUGUUGAUGACACCCUCCCCAACAGCCUCGAAAGUUGCAAUUAG
Molecule: long non-coding RNA, 586 nt
Filed under: Elaeis guineensis (African oil palm)
Lineage: Eukaryota; Viridiplantae; Streptophyta; Magnoliopsida; Arecales; Arecaceae
Description: long non-coding RNA (EGUI_LNC032100)
Source: RNAcentral